AGGAGGCAAGGGCGUUGGUGGACGAAGAAGAGAACCUGUUCGCCUGAGCAGCGGAUCUCACGUUGUUUCGGAUACGUUGAUUCACAGAUCGGAUCAUGUAAUUCCACCGGCAUAGUCCCAAUUGGUCUUUGGAGGCCUCCACGGCUCCAAUGGUUGCUGCCACUAACCAUGCUUUGCUCCUUGAACUCAUCUUUUCUCUUUCUUUUUCUUCUUAAUUGGAAAGCUUUUAGCUUUGUGUUUUUUUUUGUUUGUAAAUUGCUUUGUGAAAGUUGUUGAUGAAGAAAGGUAAUUUCCUACAAGUCUGUUUAUAUAAUAGAGAGGAAGAGGAUUAGACAGAGUGCAAAACCAGACGCUGUCUCCCCUGGUUUCCCCAAGUUUUUGUCUUGUUGGUUUGGUGGAUUGAUUCAUAUAAUUAAUUACCAAUGUACCCACCUCAGAUCAUUUUGGAUAAGGGUCAACAUUGUCUUUUAAGAGAUUAUGAAUUAUCCGCAAGUGCAGGCAGCUGGUUUUGUUGUACUAUAUUUGGAAACCGUCUUGAACCUAAAAUAGUUAUAAUAAAAUCUCAAUUGAUUGAUUUGUCAUGACAAAAUUAAUUUUUAUCAGUUGUUAGGUUGAGCCCUUAGAGAAUCACGCAAGGAGCUUUAGCCCUUGGAGAGAACUUAGCGAGGCGAGGCAUAAAUAGCAACACCUCAUGUCGCCACUGCGGAGAACCAUAAACUGCAGCUCACGUCUUCUUACACUGUCCUUUUACUCGAUGAGUCUGGUCUGCACACAUCUGGACUUCUAACUUUAACCCAACGGAAUGCAACACUUUUGAAGAGGCCUUCUUACGUGCAGCUGAAGCUACUAACCUCCCACCGAUAGGAGUAACAGGACCUCUAUUCCCUUGGAUCUACUGGGAUAUUUGGACUGCUAGAAACUACAUGAUCUUUGAAAACAGGAUCCCUUCACCAGAUGAGAUCAUCUCGAAAGCCUUUCGAGCAGCAAGAGAGUGGAAUGCAGCGCAAUCAACUCCAGAACCAGGACCUUCAGCUCAGCGCCAGCGUACGCUACAACCAUCGUCGACCUCCACUUCAAUCGCUUGCUUCACUGAUGCGGCUUGGCAGGCGGGCACAAACAAAGCAGGCUGCAGAUGGAUCUUCCAGGACAGUUGCAAUGAAGGCCUAUGUCAGGGAACUAGGACCUUCUCCUACAUCUCAUCAGCGUUGAUGGCGGAAGCGAUUGCAGUCAGGUCAGCUCUUAUCAACGCCUGUGAAAUGGGUUUCUCCAAAAUCUGUAUCAAAUCAGAUUUUCAAGCACUAGUUGCUACUAUCAUCUCCUCGAAUCAGCACCCGGCGGAUCUCCACGGAAUCACUCGGGACAUCGAGCAUCUAUCUCUUUCCUUUGAUUGUAUCUCCUAUGUUUUUAUUUCCAGAAACUUGAACUUCGUGGCUGAUGCCCUCGUAAAAUCUGCUCUGUACUCUGUUUCUACCAACUAGUUUCGGUUGGUCUGCAUCUUUUAUGAUAUUCAGUGUUCAGAAAAAAAAAUCAGUUGUUAGGUUGAUUAUUUAACUAGCGUUUGCCAUUCUGGUCGGAUCUGGUUUGGUCAAAAAAAAUUAUAUUUUUAAGAAAACUUUAUUCAAAUAUAAAAUAAAAAUGUUUAAUUGAAAAUUGUAAAUUAAAAUAUUAUAGGUACAAAUAUCUUUUAUAUACUAAAGCGCAAAACGCAUGACAUAUAUCUUUUUAAAAAACUUAAUAAUUAAAAAUUAAAUUAAUUUUUAUUUUGGCAACAGAAAUUUAAAUCCUUAAAUUUUCUCAUCUCACGUUCAAAUUAACUUUCAAAUUACUGCAAAAAAUAUAUUAUAGCUACAAAUAUCUUUUAUAUACUAAAGCGCAAAACGCAUGACAUAUAUCUUUUUUAAAAACUUAAUAAUAAAAAAAAUUAAAUUAAUUUUUAUUUUGGCAACAUAAAUUUAAAUCCUUAAAUUUUCUCAUCUCACCUUCAAAUUAACUUUCAAAUUACUGCAAAAAAAAAUAACUUCAAACUUUUUUUUAGUAAAAUGUUAAAUUUAUAUUGAAUGAAACUGAGAGUUUAUGUACAAAGAAUCAUAAGAAUAAAUAUAUGCUUCUAACUCUAUACCAAUGAGCUAGUGUCCUUUGAACCAUCUUUGCAUCAGUCCUAGAAGCCUUGGUUUCUCAAAGUACCGAGUUGACAUAAUCCUAUUCCUGACCAUUUUCUCAAUGAGAGUAGUCAACUGGCCGUCCAGUUUCAACUUCCCAGUAUGCCUCCUAUCAUUUCUCUUCUUCCAAAGAUAGUAUAUAGAAGUUUGAAACACCAACCUCAGUAAUAUGAAUGUCAGUUUAUCAUAGUCGUGCUCUACCAGCCGGUUUAAUGUCAUCUCCCAAUUUGGAUCAGCAUUGACUCCCAGCAAGUCUCCCACUACUGCCAACCAUACAGUGAAGGUGUAAGGGCAAGCAAAGAAGAGGUGGUCUCUGGACUCAUUAGGCUCUCCACAAAACACACAUCCUUGUACUACUUCCCACUGUCUCAUUCUAACUCCAGUCGCAAGUGUAUCUCGAAUUGCUAACCAAGUAAUGAAGGCAAAACGAGGCGACCCUUGGACGAACCAUACCACUUUACUCCGAUUCUGCGUCUCUCUAUGCGGUUGUAUCUGCUCCCAUGUUUGGAAAGACGAGAACCUGCACUUAUACUCAUCCGACCCUGAUUUCUAUAGAACCAUGUCCUCCUUACCAACAACUAGUGCUUUGAAACUUCUAACACUCGUGAUUAUUUGCUGUAGAGUUUGGUCUCUGCAUCUUCGAAUCUGCCAACCAGAAGCAUUUGCAGCAUCAGCAACCUUGGUAUAUCGCCCAAUAUCAAGCCGUUGUGGACCACUAUCCCCCACUAUGUCAAUAAGUCGGCCCCCAGGAAGCCAGGGGUCCGACCAAAAUAGAGUUAUCUGCCCAUUUUUAAUUUGCAUUCUGAUGAAUUGAGCAGCCAGCGGCCUCAGCCUCAGGAGCUUCCUCCACACCCACGAUCCCUUAGCUGACUCCCUAAUGUCCCAUAAUGAAUCAUUGCUCCAUAAUUUUUCCUUGACCCAGGAUACCCAAAGAGAGCCUGACGUUGUGAAAAGCUUCCGGAUGAGUUUCAGUGCAAAAACCUUAGACAUAUCUGACAGUCGAUGAAGCCCUAGUCCACCUUCUUCACGCGGUGUACAGAAAUGAGGAGCACAUACUCUCAAUCUUAUCAAGGCAGCCUUUAGGUAGACAAAAAGUAGAGCUCCAGAAGUUGGAUUUGCUAUAUAUCACAGACUGAAUUAGUUAUAACCGGCCUGCAAAGGACAAGUAUUUGCUCGUCAAGAUUUGUAGCCUCUGCUUGAUCUUUUCAACCAGUGGCUCAUAGUCUUUACGAGUCAUAGUCUUAGUGGUGAGAUGUAACCCAAGGUAUUUAGCUGGUAGGGAGGAUACAGCGAGCCCUGACAAGGUCACCUCCUGCUCUAUUAAUUUGCUUCCACGACCCCCUGCAUACAAGGUUGACUUUGCUAUAUUUAUAGACAAGCUCGAUAUCCUUGCAAACCCCUCAAAAGCCCCCAUGGUGCCUCGCAGAGACUGUGGAGAACCAUCCAUGAAUACCAUAAUAUCAUCCGCAAAGCUGAGAUGAGAGAGCUUUACUUCUUUACAUUUCGGGUGGUAUCCAAUCUCCCUCUUUCCACUCCUUUGUUCAGCAUUAGUGAGAGUACAUUACUGAUGAUGACAUAUAAGUACGGGGACAAUGCACAUCCUUGUCUUACUACACGGGCACUCUGGAAGAACCCCUCUAACUCAACAUUCACUGAAACCGAGAAACCAGUCGUUUUUAUACAGCACAUGAUCAAGGCUAUAAAUUGAUCCGGGUAGUGCAUCGCCCGCAGCGUUGCUUCUAUGAACUCCCACUAGACGGAAUCAAACGCUUUGGAGAUAUCAAGUUUGAUAGCAGCUCGAGGGGUAAGUGUGGGAUUGUGAUAAUCCAUUACAAGCUCCAUCUCUAGUAGUACAUUUUCUAGCAGCAACCGACCUUCAACGAACGCACACUGAUUCAGUUCUAUAGCCGAUGGCAGAGGUACCAUUAAUCUCCUUGCUAUCAGUUUCGAUAUAGCCUUAUAGAUCACAUUGCAACAUGCAAUGGGCCUAUAAUCAGACAUAUGUUCCACAUCUUGGGAUUUUGGUACCAAAGCAAGGAGUGUUGCAUUGAUACUCUUUGGCAAGAACCCAUAUAGAAAAAAUGAUUGCACUGCCGUGACAAAGUCUGCACCGAUAAGAGGCCAUGCGGCUUUGUAGAACUCUAUUGGAUAUCCAUUAGGACCCGGGGCUUUGUUUGAUGGCAUUGAGAUAUAGGGUAUCCCGUAUCUCCUAAGCUUGGACCGGUCUAAUCAACAUAGCAGCAUCUUAUCUACUGCAUUUGUACUGCACUAGUCGAGAUAGAGCCUCCAGAUCAACCUCUGCAACCCCAUCUGGAACAUUCUGCAUAAAAUUUUGAAAGUGACAGGCUGCUUCUAUCUUGAUCAGAACCGGUUCAGUGAUCAUGUCCCCUCCUGCGGUAGUCAAUUUCCUUAUUGCAUUCCUGGAGUUCCUGCUCUGACUUAUAUUAUGGUAGAAACUGGUGUUGCGAUCUCCAAGUUUUAGCCACUGAAUCCUCGAUUUUUGGUAGAAAAACUGUUCCUCAAUUCCUGACAAAUGAUUCCAAUCAUUCCACUAACAAAUUCUCCAUAUCCAGAAUCGAGUUUUGAUUAAGAAGCAAAAACAACAACUCUGAUACCACAUGAUGUAGUGGAAGCUUUAUAAAAUAGAACUAAAGAUCCAUUGUUCUUAGAAUACCCAAAAAUCUAUAAUAAUACAAAGAUCUUAUUUAGGCCUAUUAUUAUACUUUAGGCCUAAAUAUAGAAAGAUGAUGGUAUUAUCAGUUUGCAACUGAUAUUUUGUAUAAGAUGAAAGUUAGGUUAGCGUGAUAUAUAUCAUUAGCUACUAAGAAAUAUCAAUGUUAAUGUUUUUCUAGACUACGAAAAACAAUUAGGCAGGUGCCAAAGCUUUUUCUUAAUCUUCAAUAUAAAUUUCAUAAUUCAAGUUCUAAAGAAUUAUGUUGCAAGGAAACAUAUUUGAUAUAUAAGUUUGUUUGGUAAUAACAAGAAAACUUAAUUUUUGUAUUACUCUUUAUAUAAAUUUAUGUAGGCAAGGAAGGCUUAAGAGCCAAACAAUAUUCUUCUUUUUUUCUUUUAUUAACAAAACAAUUUUGAAUAGAUGCGUCUCUUAAGAAAAUCAUUACUUUCCGAUUUAUAGCAAAAACAUGCAAUACUUAGGCCAUAAUAUAUAUAUCAAACUUUGAUUUAAAUUGUUGUCCAAGUAAUACGGACUAAAAGUAUAUCUUACAUUUUUUUAAAAAAGUUAUUAUGUAGGAUCACAAUAUAAAUCAACCUUGGACCAUUUAAAGAAAGUCUCAUUUAAUGAGAUCGCCGAAUAUUAAUUUAAUCAGAUCGCUGAGAAUUAAGUUUAUCAUAUCAUAUACAUUUAUGUUUGGGUUAAUAUAAGUUUUUCUAGUAAUUGGAUUUUGGACUUACUAAAUUUUCAAUUGAUUUUUAUGUUGUCACGUAAGUCAAAUUGACAUUCUAAUUAAAUGACACCUAAGAAAGACUAAUUUUUAAUUAAUACAAACUUGAUACAACUUUUCAAAUGUUUCUCUAUUAUAUACAUGGGACUAGAUGAUAACUCGCGCUCAUGCUCGGGGUGAGUUUUUUAUACUAAUGUUUUUAACAUUUUGUAUCACUACACUUUUUAUCGAUUGUAAAAUGACGAAUACAAAUGUUGAUCUCUUAAAUGUAUCAUCGUUGUUUAAGAGUUAACAUAUUACAACUCAUUUUAGUUAUUUUAAGACUUCAUAUGCACAAAAGAAAAUUAAGUUUUGUGUCUGAUACAAAUCACACAAACCAGAUAGGAAACAUCAAUUGUAAUAUGACAAAGGGGGAUUAGGUUUUCUGCUCUCGAUUUGUUUACUAUUGACUCUCCAUAAGUGAUUUGAUUUUCUACUUUUAUAAAAUUGUGGUUUUGUUCUUUUGUGCAUAUGAAUUAAAAUUGUGAUUUGUUUACAAUUGCUAUAUUUGAAUUAAAAAUAAUAUAAUUUCAAAAUAAUAUAUAUAGCACUGAUAUGAGUUUUGUUUUUUUUUUAACUUCUUCUGUGAAUUCAGUGAAUUACAUAAGUGUCAAUUUAAAAAGACGGACAUCUGUAAAAAUUAGUUCAACUCCACCUACAUAUCUAAGAAUCAAAAUUUUGAAGAAAAUCACCGGCAAACUCUACUCACAGGUUAGUUAUCAAAUCUAAUAUAUCAAGUUGUUAUAGAAUAUAAGUGCAGACUCUAAAUAUAUGUCUAGUAUAUAUUCACCGGUUCGUUCUAAAAAAUCAUCUAGUUCUAGAACAAUAAAUUACUUAUUUUAUUAACAUAUGCUUUUGAGGUUUACUUACUUAAGACUGUACCGAUAAAGAACUAUAUAUAAUACUUUACCAUUCUAGUAUAUGUAAACUAUGUAUAAACUAAAAAAAUGUUUGAUUUAUUAAAUGAUAAAUCAAAAAACUUAUAAUAAAUAGUUCAAAUCUCUCAUUCUCACAAUUAUAAUAGCAUAGGGUAUUAGGGAGAAACAAAUAUUAGAUGAAUGAUCAAAUCUCUCAUUCUUCGAACAAACUCAAACGGAGUUGAUUGGAAUCUUGUGAUCAUGAUAUUUCACUAAAAGAUUUUUAGGAAUAAAUAUUAAGACUAAAAUAUUUAAUCUAAAUGAAAUAAUAUAUAUAUAUAUAUAGUGCUUCCAAUAUUAAAAAUCACUUCGAUUUGGAGAAGUGUAUUUUUGGGAUUGUCAAGAUCAAAUAACAUAUUAGAAACCACCUAUUUAAAAAAUAAUGUGCAUACAUAAAAAUAUAUACAUUAGAGUAAGCACAUAAAUCAAAACUAAUAUCUUUUGUUUAUUUACAAUCAUUUUUUUUGGUAAAUAAAUAAAAAAAACAUUUUAUUUACUUUAUAUGAUAUACAUUUAAACUUUAGUGAUAUUGACACACACACACAUAUAUAUAUAUAUAUAUAUAUAUAUAUAUAUAUAUAUAUAUAUAUAUAUAUAUAUAUAUAUAUAUAUAUAUAUAUAUAUUUUAAUAUAUAUGUAGUAUAUUUUAGUAUAAAUAUUUAUUAUUGAUACUUUCUACUCAUAUGAUUUUAUUAACAUUUGUAUAUUUGUUGUAAAAAAAAUUUAAAAUGUUAAUCACAAAACUUUUAAAAUAACUGAACCUCUUUUUGGAGAGAGUACAAAUCACUCCUUAGGUUUGAUAUCACUAACAUCAAUGAUCGUAUCAAACACCCUGAUACGAGAUCCCAAAAUUUGUCUUUUGGCUAAUAGUCGAGUGUCUUAAGAAAUCCCGCAAGUUUAUGCUAUGCGGAAAAUAGAUCACAGGUUUAGAAGUUCACCUAGAGUUAGAUUACGAGAUGACAACUCAUAGUCUUCCCUCUUCACCCAUGUAAAUGCCCGAUUACCUCUACUCGACACGUAACUAGACCGUAAAGGUCUGACUGGAAAACAGGUUGUAAGAAUCUCAACUCCAGGACGAACUACAAAAGGCUUGAUCCCUUCGACAAUGGUACGUAGGCAGCCUUCACAAGGCGCAUCCCUAAUCUUAUCGCACUCCACUUUUAGUAGAGUGACCAGACCACUUCCAACCAUUAAAUCCGCCUAACUUACCUGACCUGCCUAACCGCUCCUAAGAACAUUGCAAAAAUUCUAGCAAGCUGUGGGGCUAACCUAAAAAUUCUAGCGAGCUGGGGGUCCACAAUCCUAAGUUCAAUGUUCUAGUUAGCUACUCUAGGACAAAAGCAUUAACCACAAUUCUUUGAAGGAUAUUUAUCACAUUAGCAAUUAUAUAUUUUGGGUUAAUCCCUCUUUAACCUAUUUGAACCUUAAAUCUAAGAAGUGAAUUACUCAGACAUAGAAAAUAAAUUCAUAAGCAUAAACUGAAUAAAAUUUAUAAAUAGAUUAAGGUUAGAAAUACUGGAGUUCCAAUACAAAUCUUUGAAGAAGUCUUGUAUCUUCUCUCCACAUCUAUUAAUGUAUAAGUUAAUGUGAUCAGUCUAUAUUUUUGUUCUGUGUUUUACUUUUUUACUUUUAUCUUAAGUGCACUUAAGUUUAUUUUUACUAGAUGUUAAUUUUUGGCCUGCAUAGAUUUGAUUGUACUCCUUUUUAUUUGUGUGGAUUGAUUCUUAAUUUUUUAUAUCACUAAAUUAUGUAAAAUUUACAAUGCAGUCACCAUGUAUCGCUAGCAUAUUUUUAAUUAACGUUGAUGUUGAUUAAAAUGAAAUUUUACUAGGUUAAUAUUGCAUCAUUUAUUGGAAUUGUUGUAAUAUAUUUGUUGAAAUAUACAGUAAUAUUGAAUAUUAAAUAUUUGUUAACAACGAUAAAAACUUGUUGCACAAUAAUUGUAUAUAUAUAAUAUGCGUCAAAUCAAACAAACACAAAUAUCAAUUUAACAUGUCAAAAGGAAGAACACAAUGGUAAAUUUUAAAUUUGAAAGUAGUUAGGAAACACAAUUCCAAAAAUGAGUGCACAUGAAACCACCACCGGUUGUAGGAACAGCAUAUUGUUCAUGACUUGUUACAUGUUUGUUGCAAAGCUUUUUGCAAGCUUUUUCACAAAUAGACAUAUCUGCUUGUUUGGCUACUUUCAUGCACUGAUUCGGGAUGCAGUGUUUGACACAUUUUUCAACAUUGGUUGAAAGACAAUUUUGUGCCGAAAACAUCACUGUACAUAUAGCUACAAUCAUGAAAAUAAUGCAUGAUUUUUUAAAAGUUUGAGUCGUCAUAAUGUAUAUUAUUAGAACAAAUAUGAAAUUCUAAUAUAGUUUAGUCUGAUUUUGAUCGUUGAUGGUGAAAUGAUGAUUUGUUGGUAAUCUCUUGGUAAUUUAUAUAGAAAGUUAAUGAUGACUAUUUUUAACAGUUUGUUUUUUUUUUUUUUCUGUUUUCUGUUUUGUUGUUUCUGUUUCUGUUUCUGUUUCUGUACUUUCUUAUGUUAGUUAUCUAUCCAGUCUUUUUUAUAACAAUAUAAAAUAUAUCAUAUAUAAUGAUUAUAGUUGUAUUUUAUAUGAUUUCAUAGUAUUUCAUUAAAUUUUAUGUCCAAAUUCGCAAAAUUAUGGUUUUAUUUUGAAAUCCUAAAACGACAAUUUUUUUAGAAACUAUAUUAUUUUAAAUUUGAAAAAUAUUUUUAGUUUUUUCCUCUUAUAUAUGAAAAAAAUGUAGAAUCAAAUCAUGAAAAAAUGGCUCUGAAUGCGAUUUCUUUGACUAUUUUUUCAGUUACUCUUUUCACUUCUUUUGCAUAGUAACAGCUGCGUUCACCACGGUUUCGGUUUUUUCUGGUUUUGGCCACUACAGCGAUCCGGUUUUUUGAUUUAUUUUUACUAGAUGUUAAUUUUUGGCCUGCAUAGAUUUGAUUGUACUCCUUUUUAUAUGUGUGGAUUGAUUCUUAAUUUUUUAUAUCACUAAAUUAUGUAAAAUUUACAAUGCAAUCACCAUUUAUCUCUAGCAUAUUUUUAAUUAGCGUUGAUGCUGAUUAAAAUAAAAUUUUACUAGGUUAAUAUUGCAUUGUUUAUUGGAAUUGUUGUGAUAUAUUUGUUGAAAUAUACAGUAAUAUUGAAUAUUAAAUGUUUGUUAACACCGAUAAAAACUUGUUGCACAAUAAUUGUAUAUAUAUAAUACGCGUCCGAUCAAACAAACACAAAUAUCAAUUUAACAUGUAAAAAGGAAGAACACAGUGGUAACUUUUAAAUUUGAAAGUAGUUAUGAAACACAAUUCCAAAUAUGGGUGCACAUGAAACCACUAUCGGUUGUAGGAACAACAUAUUGUUCAUGACUUGUUACAUGUUUGUUGCAAAGCUUUUUGCAAGCUUCUUCACAAAUAGACAUAUCUGCUUGUUUGACUAUUUUCAUACACUGAUUCGGGAUGUAGUGUUUGACACAUUUUUCAACAUUGGUUGAAAGACAAUUUUGUGCCGAAAACAUCACUGUACAUAUAGCUACAAUCAUGAAAAUAAUGCAUGAUGUUUUAAAAGUUUGAGUCGUCAUAAUGUAUAUUAUUAGAACAAAUAUGAAAUUCUAAUAUAGUUUAGUCUGAUUUUGAUCGUUGAUGGUGAAAUGAUGAUUUAUUGGUAAUCUCUUGGUAAUUUAUAUACAAAGUUAAUGAUGACUAUUUUUAACAGCUUGUUUUUUUUUUCUGUUUUAACGUAUAUAAACCGAAUAAGUUAUGUGAAACUUAUAUGUACUUUCUUAUGUUAGUUAUAUAUCCAGUCUUUCUAUAACAAUAUAAAAUAUAUCAUAUAUAAUGAUUAUAGUUGUAUUUUAUAUGAUUUCAUAGCAUUUCAUUAAUGUUUUAUGUCCAAACUCGCAAAAUUAUGGUUUUAUUUUGAAAUCCUAAAAUGACAAUUUUUUUAGAAACUAUAUUAUUUUAAAUUUAAAAAAUAUUUUUAGUUUUUGCCUCUAAUAUAUGAAAAAAAACUGUAGAAUCAAAUCAUGAAAAAAAUGGCUCUGAAUGCGAUUUCUUUGACUAUUUUUUCAGUUACUCUUUUCACUUCUUUUGUAUAGUAACAGCUGCGUUCACCACGGUUUCGGUUUUUUCUGGUUUUGACCACUACAGCGAUCCGGUUUUUUGGUCAAAGUUUAUUUUCACUAGAUGUUAAUUUUUGGCCUACAUAGAUUUGAUUGUACUCUUUUUUAUAUGUGUGGAUUGAUUCUUAAUUUUUUAUAUCACUAAAUUAUGUAAAAUUUACAAUGCAAUCACCAUUUAUCUCUAGCAUAUUUUUAAUUAGCGUUGAUGUUGAUUAAAAUGAAAUUUUACUAAGUUAAUAUUGCAUUGUUUAUUGGAAUUGUUGUGAUAUAUUUGUUGAAAUAUACAGUAAUAUUGAAUAUUAAAUGUUUGUUAACACCGAUAAAAACUUGUUGCACAAUAAUUGUAUAUAUAUAAUACGCGUCCGAUCAAACAAACACAAAUACCAAUCUAACUUGUAAAAAGGAAGAGCACAGUGGUAACUUUUAAAUUUGAAAGUAGUUAUCAAACACAAUUCCAAACAUGGGUGCACAUGAAACCACCACCGGUUGUAGGAACAGUGUAUUGUUCAUGACUUGUUACAUGUUUGUUGCAAAGCUUUUUGCAAGCUUCUUCACAAAUUGACAUAUCUGCUUGUUUGGCUACUUUCAUGCACUGAUUCGGGAUGCAGUGUUUGACACAUUUUUCAACAUUGGUUGAAAGACAAUUUUGUGCCGAAAACAUCACUGUACAUAUAGCUACAAUCAUGAAAAUAAUGCAUGAUUUUUUAAAAGUUUGAGUCGUCAUAAUGUAUAUUAUUAGAACAAAUAUGAAAUUCUAAUAUAGUUUAGUCUGAUUUUGAUCGUUGAUGGUGAAAUGAUGAUUUGUUGGUAAUCUCUUGGUAAUUUAUAUAGAAAGUUAAUGAUGACUAUUUUUAACAGCUUGUUUUUUUUUGUUUUUUUUCUGUUUCAACGUAUAUAAACCGAAUAAGUUAUGUGAAACUUAUCUGUACUUUCUUAUGUUAGUUAUAUAUCCAGUCUUUCUAUAACAAUAUAAAAUAUAUCAUAUAUAAUGAUUAUAGUUGUAUUUUAUAUGAUUUCAUAGUAUUUCAUUAAAUUUUAUGUCCAAACUCGCAAAAUUAUGGUUUUAUUUUGAAAUCCUAAAAUGACAAUUUUUUUAGAAACUAUAUUAUUUUAAAUUUUAAAAAUAUUUUUAGUUUUUUCCUCUAAUAUAUGAAAAAAAAACUGUAGAAUCAAAUCAUGAAAAAAAUGGCUCUGAAUGCGAUUUCUUUGACUAUUUUUUCAGUUACUCUUUUCACUUCUUUUGUAUAGUAACAGGUGCGUUCACCACGGUUUCGGUUUUUUCUGGUUUUGACCACUACAGCGAUCCGGUUUUUUGGUCAAAGUUUAUUUUCACUAGAUGUUAAUUUUUGGCCUGCAUAGAUUUGAUUGUACUCUUUUUUAUAUGUGUGGAUUGAUUCUUAAUUUUUUAUAUCACUAAAUUAUGUAAAAUUUACAAUGCAAUCACCAUUUAUCUCUAGCAUAUUUUUAAUUAGCGUUGAUGUUGAUUAAAAUGAAAUUUUACUAAGUUAAUAUUGCAUUGUUUAUUGGAAUUGUUGUGAUAUAUUUGUUGAAAUAUACAGUAAUAUUGAAUAUUAAAUGUUUGUUAACACCGAUAAAAACUUGUUGCACAAUAAUUGUAUAUAUAUAAUACGCGUCCGAUCAAACAAACACAAAUACCAAUCUAACUUGUAAAAAGGAAGAGCACAGUGGUAACUUUUAAAUUUGAAAGUAGUUAUCAAACAAAAUUCCAAACAUGGGUGCACAUGAAACCACCACCGGUUGUAGGAACAGCGUAUUGUUCAUGACUUGUUACAUGUUUGUUGCAAAGCUUUUUGCAAGCUUCUUCACAAAUUGACAUAUCUGCUUGUUUGGCUACUUUCAUGCACUGAUUCGGGAUGCAGUGUUUGACACAUUUUUCAACAUUGGUUGAAAGACAAUUUUGUGCCGAAAACAUCACUGUACAUAUAGCUACAAUCAUGAAAAUAAUGCAUGAUUUUUUAAAAGUUUGAGUCGUCAUAAUGUAUAUUAUUAGAACAAAUAUGAAAUUCUAAUAUAGUUUAGUCUGAUUUUGAUCGUUGAUGGUGAAAUGAUGAUUUGUUGGUAAUCUCUUGGUAAUUUAUAUAGAAAGUUAAUAAUGACUAUUUUUAACAGCUUGUUUUUUUUUUCUUUUCUGUUUUAACGUAUAUAAACCAAAUAAGUUAUGUGAAACUUAUCUGUACUUUCCUAUGUUAGUUAUCUAUCGAGUCUUUUUUAUAACAAUAUAAAAUAUAUCAUAUAUAAUGAUUAUAGUUGUAUUUUAUAUGAUUUCAUAGCAUUUCAUUAAUGUUUUAUGUCCAAACUCGCAAAAUUAUGGUUUAUUUUGAAAUCCUAAAAUGACAAUUUUUUUAGAAACUAUAUUAUUUUAAAUUUAAAAAAUAUUUUUAGUUUAUUCCUCUAAUAUAUGAAAAAAAACUGUAGAAUCAAAUCAUGAAAAAAAUGGCUCUGAAUGCGAUUUCUUUGACUAUUUUUUCAGUUACUCUUUUCACUUCUUUUGUAUAGUAACAGUUGCGUUCACCACGGUUUCGGUUUUUUUCUGGUUUUGAUCACUACAGCGAUCCGGUUUUUUGGUCAAAGUUUAUUUUCACUAGAUGUUAAUUUUUGGCCUGCAUAGAUUUGAUUGUACUCCUUUUUAUAUGUGUGGAUUGAUUCUUAAUUUUUUAUAUCACUAAAUUAUGUAAAAUUUACAAUGCAAUCACCAUUUAUCUUUAGCAUAUUUUUAAUUAGCGUUGAUGUUGAUUAAAAUGAAAUUUUACUAGGUUAAUAUUGCAUUGUUUAUUGGAAUUGUUAUGAUAUAUUUGUUGAAAUAUACAGUAAUAUUGAAUAUUAAAUGUUUGUUAACACCGAUAAAAACUUGUUGCACAAUAAUUGUAUAUAUAUAAUACGCGUCCGAUCAAACAAACACAAAUACCAAUUUAACAUGUAAAAAGGAAGAGCACAGUGGUAACUUUUAAAUUUGAAAGUAGUUAUCAAACACAAUUCCAAACAUGGGUGCACAUGAAACCACCACCGGUUGUAGGAACAGUGUAUUGUUCAUGACUUGUUACAUGUUUGUUGCAAAGCUUUUUGCAAGCUUCUUCACAAAUUGACAUAUCUGCUUGUUUGGCUACUUUCAUGCACUGAUUCGGGAUGCAGUGUUUGACACAUUUUUCAACAUUGGUUGAAAGACAAUUUUGUGCCGAAAACAUCACUGUACAUAUAGCUACAAUCAUGAAAAUAAUGCAUGAUUUUUUAAAAGUUUGAGUCGUCAUAAUGUAUAUUAUUAGAACAAAUAUGAAAUUCUAAUAUAGUUUAAUCUGAUUUUGAUCGUUGAUGGUGAAAUGAUGAUUUGUUGGUAAUCUCUUGGUAAUUUAUAUAGAAAGUUAAUGAUGACUAUUUUUAACAGCUUGUUUUUUUUUUGUUGUUUUUCUGUUUCAACGUAUAUAAACCGAAUAAGUUAUGUGAAACUUAUCUGUACUUUCUUAUGUUAGUUAUAUAUCCAGUCUUUCUAUAACAAUAAAAAAUAUAUCAUAUAUAAUGAUUAUAGUUGUAUUUUAUAUGAUUUCAUAGUAUUUCAUUAAAUUUUAUGUCCAAACUCGCAAAAUUAUGGUUUUAUUUUGAAAUCCUAAAAUGACAAUUUUUUUAGAAACUAUAUUAUUUUAAAUUUAAAAAAUAUUUUUAGUUUUUUCCUCUAAUAUAUGAAAAAAAACUGUAGAAUCAAAUCAUGAAAAAAAUGGCUCUGAAUGCGAUUUCUUUGACUAUUCUUUCAGUUACUCUUUUCACUUCUUUUGUAUAGUAACAGCUGCGUUCACCACAGUUUCGGUUUUUUCUGGUUUUGACCACUACAGCGAUCCGGUUUUUUGGUCAAAGUUUAUUUUCACUAGAUGUUAAUUUUUGGCCUGCAUAGAUUUGAUUGUACUCUUUUUUAUAUGUGUGGAUUGAUUCUUAAUUUUUUAUAUCACUAAAUUAUGUAAAAUUUACAAUGCAAUCACCAUUUAUCUCUAGCAUAUUUUUAAUUAGCGUUGAUGUUGAUUAAAAUGAAAUUUUACUAAGUUAAUAUUGCAUUGUUUAUUGGAAUUGUUGUGAUAUAUUUGUUGAAAUAUACAGUAAUAUUGAAUAUUAAAUGUUUGUUAACACCGAUAAAAACUUGUUGCACAAUAAUUGUAUAUAUAUAAUACGCGUCCGAUCAAACAAACACAAAUACCAAUUUAACAUAUAAAAAGGAAGAGCACAGUGGUAACUUUUAAAUUUGAAAGUAGUUAUCAAACACAAUUCCAAACAUGGGUGCACAUGAAACCACCACCGGUUGUAGGAACAGCGUAUUGUUCAUGACUUGUUACAUGUUUGUUGCAAAGCUUUUUGCAAGCUUCUUCACAAAUUGACAUAUCUGCUUGUUUGGCUACUUUCAUGCACUGAUUCGGGAUGCAGUGUUUGACACAUUUUUCAACAUUGGUUGAAAGACAAUUUUGUGCCGAAAACAUCACUGUACAUAUAGCUACAAUCAUGAAAAUAAUGCAUGAUUUUUUAAAAUUUUGAGUCGUCAUAAUGUAUAUUAUUAGAACAAAUAUGAAAUUCUAAUAUAGUUUAGUCUGAUUUUGAUCGUUGAUGGUGAAAUGAUGAUUUGUUGGUAAUCUCUUGGUAAUUUAUAUAGAAAGUUAAUGAUGACUAUUUUUAACAGCUUGUUUUUUUUUUCUGUUUUAACGUAUAUAAACCGAAUAAGUUAUGUGAAACUUAUAUGUACUUUCUUAUGUUAGUUAUAUAUCCAGUCUUUCUAUAACAAUAUAAAAUAUAUCAUAUAUAAUGAUUAUAGUUGUAUUUUAUAUGAUUUCAUAGUAUUUCAUUAAAGUUUUAUGUCUAAACUCGCAAGAUUAUAGUUUUAUUUUGAAAUCCUAAAAUGACAAUUUUUUUUAGAAACUAUAUUAUUUUAAAUUAGAAAAAUAUUUUUAGUUUUUCCCUCUAAUAUAUGAAAAAAAACUGUAGAAUCAAAUCAUGAAAAAACGGCUCUGAAUGCAAUUUCUUUGACUAUUUUUUCAGUUACUCUUUUCACUUCUUUUGCAUAGUAACAACUGCGUUCACCACAGUUUCUGUUUUUUCUGGGUUUAACCACUACAGCGAUCCGUUUUUUUGGUCAAGAAGAAUUUAUAACCCCUUUAUAUCCUCUAUAUAUUAAUAGAUAAACAUUUAAAAAUUUAUAACAUGUACUUUGUAUUAAUUAAAAAAAUGUCAUGGUGAGUUAUCAUGUAACUAGAAUGUUAAUUUUAAUUACAUGGCGACUUGAGAAUCAAUUGAGAAUUUUGUUAGUACAAAAUUAAAAUGCUAGAGAAUUUUAUAUUAUAUAGUAUAUUCAUUAUGGACCACUCAUUUAUCAAAUUGAGUUCUUUCUUUAAAUAAAACUUACGAAAUUACCUAUUGUGAUUAAGAUAUAUAUGGCAAUUAAUGGUUUUAAAUAAUAAAUAUUUGCUGUCAAUCUGAUAUUUUCUAUCAUUUUUGUUUAGUUAUUAUUAAAAUAAAUUACAUAAUUACAUUAAUCAUAAAAUAAAAAUUUAGAUUUUUUGUAUAUGUUGUAUUUUAAAUUUUUCAGAACGAGUAUAGAUUACUUAAAUUGUUAAAAGUCUCACAUAAAUUUUUGUGAUCAAAGUUUGUCCAAAAAAAAAAAAACUUUUGUGAUCAAGGUUUAAAUUUUUUUCUAUAAUAAGAUACAAUUAUUACAAAAUCAUAUGAAUAAAUAUAUUUAUUUUAACUGGUGUUUAUGUUAAUAUAUAUAUAUAUAUAUCAUUUAAUUUAAAAUAUAUACAUCAUAUUAAAAUACAUACUUAUAUUUUGAUUUUUACGUUGAACAUAUAUUGAAAAAAUAUUUUAAUUUUGAAAUGUUCAUUGUUUUUUAAAAUGAUUAUAAAUUACUAAAACCACUAAACAUUCCACAUUUUGCGAAUAAACAAGAGCGAUCGUUUGAUUUAUAUGUGCACGCCAAUUUAUUACAUAAUAGUAACUGAUUUCUUAGUCAUUUAAUAUAUAACUAUUAUUAUUUUAUUUUAUAAUAUGCAAAAAACAUAAAAUAAGCAAUAAAUAUAAAAUAUUUAUUCUGCUCAAGACGCAGAUCUUAACUUAAGUAUGUAUCUCUUUAAUAAUUUUAAAUCUUAAAAUAACGAAAUGAGAAUAAAUUUAAAAAAUCAAUCUUUAUAGCUAGCAAUAACCAAAAUGAAAAAAUGACACAAAAAUGAUAAAAAGAAUAUUGAGGAUAUUUUGGUUUGGCACGUGAAUGUAAACUUCUCAUAACCAUAAUUAACUUUUAAGUUGCUAAAUCUUUUCUUUUUGACAGCAAACAAAACAUUUACAUACUCAUAUUGACUUUGUAAACCAAUUCGGUAACAUCGCAUCCAUGAGAACGACGAAAGACGGUUGUUUCCUAGCACUACAUGUUAAGCUAUCCGCCCAUAGGUUCUCCGUCCGUGGUACAUGAACGAUGUCUGAGUUGAGGAAACUUUUUUUUAAAAGCUUAAUGUCUUCCAACUAAUUUUCAAAUGCUGGCUAUUCUUCUGGUUCCGAAACCAUCUAUACCAAUUGAAAACAAUCCGUUGCAAACGUCACCUGAAACUGUCUUAAAUUCUUCAUACAUUUCAUUGCCCAAAUUAAAUCCUCCACCUCCGAAUGAAGGGGUGAGAGACAUGCCUUUACAUUCUUUGCUCCUAAUAAACCAUCAAAACCCGGUAAAAUGCUAUACCAACCUUGCCCUGAAAAUAAAUCUUUAUCUUUCCAUGAUCCAUCUAUGAAGCACCAUCGUCCUGGCGUUGCUAAUGUAGAAGUGGUAUGUACCUGAUGCCCCCUCAUUGGAUCAUUUAUUACAUGUGCCUCAGCCCAGAGUGAUGAGUCCAAUUAUGCUAAUUUGAGUGUUUACCUUGGAUCAAUAUCCAGAUUGCUAAAAACGUUGUUAUUCUGGCCUUUCCAUAUAUACCAUAAUAUCCAUGUAAAUUGGAGGCCGUCCAUCUUUGGAUUAACUCUCCAGAAAAGAUGAUCCAUAUUAGCAAAAAGAGAACUGAUAGGAAAAAUAUUAGGAUGCGAUGGUAUCUUAGAUAAUACCCAUACUUGACGUGCUGGAGGACAUUCAAAAAACACAUGAUUUAUUGAUUCCUCCGGAUCUCCGCAUCGGACACAUAUAUCCCCUUGUAUCCCUCUUGAUUUUAGAUUUUAAAUUGCUAAAUCAUGAUAUAAAACUGAGCUCUCAUAUGUUUAUUGUAACCAAAUAGUAGGUCUCAGAUUCUUCGGCCUAAACGUUAGGUUCUUAUUUGAUAAAUAAUUUUUUAACCUAAAUUAUUUUUAAAGUGAGAUCAGCUCAUUAGUAAACAAAUUAUAUAAUUAACAAAAAAAAUUUAAAAAUUAUUUAAGGGCCAAAAAUAUUUAUUUGAUCAAGAAUAUAAAUUUUCUUUUUUCCAUACGAUAUUUCUUAAAUAAUUUUUAUAUAAAUUCGUCAUGCGCAAGGCGCAUGUCUUAUCCUAGUACCUGUUUAAAUGCGGAAAAAAUCCCAAGCUUUGAACUUUGAUUAGAAACCUGAACGCUUAAGAAAUCAGGUGUUCUGAGGUCAAUACCCCAUCGAUGAGACUGCACCUUAAGCUCUUAAGUGAGAUAAUUGGUGGUGAUUUUGGAUUUCUCUUAUGAGUAGUGGGCUGGAAAUGGUUAGGUUUCGGAGAUGGCGACGGCCAGAACGCUUCGAGCAUCCAAACGCAUCGGUACGGAAUGGGACAGAAUGCCGGGACGCAUCAGGACGGGGCGGACCUUGGUUUUCUUCGACGGACAGUUAAGACGCUGGUAAGGCAUUCUCCUUGCUUCGUAGUUUGUUUCCCCAAGGCUACAAAGAGAUUGGAGUUUUCCAUUCUAAGAACUUGUCGUUUCGUUUUGAGGACUUAUACGAAACUUCUUGUUACAAGAGACACUUUCUGGGAUUUUUUGGUCGUUGAUUCCAUCGUGACCGAUUUUGACCCCAACAAUAAUCGUCUAGCUUUACUUCGAAAACUACAAAUCUGUUGUGUAAUCUUAGAGUCUCUAUGAAUUCGAUCCUUAAGUAUUACAACUGGACCUCUUAUUUGAUAGAGUACAAAUCACUCCUUAGAGUAAUUUCAGUAAUAUCACUAACAUCAAUGAUCGCACCGGCUGUGGCCAAGAACAGUCUACAUAUAAUAUUUUUUUUUCUUAUAAGUUAUAUUUUGAUUUUUUAAACGACUAUAAUACUAAAAAUGGUAAAAGUCCACAUUGAAAAUUUUGUGAUCAAUGGUUUAACUUUUUUUUUGUUCAAGAAAGAUACAAAUGAUCACAAAUCGUAUGAAUACGAAGUCUCAUUAAUAGAUAUUUAUAAUAUAUAUAUAUAUAAAUUAGUAUCAUUUAAAUUAAAUUAUAUACUAUAUAAAAAUAUAAAAUAUGUUAGUUUCAAAAUUUGCAUUGAAAAGUUAUUGAGAUCUUAAUAUUUUAAUUUUGAAAUUUUUAUUGACAAAUCUCACAUUAAAAGUUUUUUUUUUCAAAACCAAAUGGUAUUCGCCUAGUGGUAAAGGGCUCACAGCUGUGAGUACCACCCAGGGUUCGAUUCUCCUUGGCCACCCGGAGCGCCUUAAGUGGUAAGAAAAUGCGGAUCCUGCGGGCCUCGUGGUGAUUAGUCAUUGGGCCUAAAAAGCCUUUGAGAUCACACAACUGUUAUAAAAAAACAUUAAAAGUUUUGUGAAUAAGAGUUAAAAUUUUUGUUAUAACAAAUAUACAAAUGUUAAUAAAAUCAUAUGAGUAGAAAGUGUCAAUAGUAAAUAUUUAUAUUAAAAUAUACUAUAUAUAUAUAUAUAUGUCAAUAUCACUAAAGUUUAAAUGUAUACCAUAUAAAGUAAAUAAAAUGAUUUUUUGAUUUAUUUACCAAAAAAUGAUUGUAAAUAAAUAAAAGAUAUUGGUUUUGAUUUAUGUGCUUACUCUAAUGUAUAUACUUUUAUGUAUACAAAUUAUUUUUUAAAUAGGUGGUUUCUAAUAUGUUAUUUGAUCUUGAUAAUCCCAAAAAUACACUUCUCUAAAUAAAAGAAAGUUAAACAAAAAGCAGAUAGGAUACAAUAACUGUUAUCAAAUAUGUAUUAUUCAUAAUCAUUAAUUGUCAUAUAUAUGUUAUCCAUAUUAGGUAAUUUCGUGGCUUUUAUUUAAGGAAAAAAUUGAAUAUAUUCUUUUGUACACUAAUAAUUAAUUUGAUAUUUAGUUUACUAUAAAGUAUAAUAUAUAUUUGUAUGGACCAACUUAUUUUUCUAAGGAUUCUAAGAAUCAUCCUAGUGAUAACACAUGGUUACGAAAACAUAUUGUAAUGCUCCAGGAUUAAUAUAUACUAGGUUUACCGCGCGGGAUGAACAUUAUAUAUAUUAUUUUUAUGUAUUAUAAGUUUUCAACAUAUUUAUGAAAUAAUAAAUAUAUAUUGAAUAAUGAAAAAGUCAGUAACUAUUACAUAUACAAUUAAAUUUGUGUGAACACAUAAAUAAAUUUCUUUAAUCCAAACAAUCACUUUUUCUAUUUAUAUGGUAUAUAUUUAAAUUUAAAUGACAUUAACAUAUAUAUAUAUAUAUAUAUAUAGUGUAUUCUUAAUAUUGAUAUAUAUUACUCAUAUAAUUUUUUUGAUCUUUUGUAUAUUUUUAUAACGUAAACUUUAAAUCAUUGAUAACAACUUUUUCAUUGUGGGAUUAAUAGUUUUAGUAAUUUAUAAUUUUUUUUAAAAAAUUAAGGCUAAGUUUAAAAAUUAAAUACUAAGUUGUCAAUAUUUUUCCAAAGCUUUUACCAAAACCUUUUAUAUUUAACGAAAAUUUUGAAAUUAAAAUAUUUUUGUAUUUUAUAUGGUAUAUAUUUUAAUUUAAACGAUAUAUAUAUUAUGCUUAAUAUUUAUUAAAUGAGACUUCUUACUUAUAUGAUUUGUAAUCAUUUGUAUCUUAUCAUAACAAAAAAUUUAAACCAAGAAUCACAAAAAUUUGAAGGUGAGAUUUUUAACAUUUUUAGUAAUUUACGGUCGUUUAAAAAAUAAAAAAUAUAACAUAUACAGAAAAAUUUAGAUUUUAUCAUAUGGUUAAUGUAGUUGUUUAAUUUAUUUUAUUAAUUUAAAAUUAAAUAAAUAUGGUAGAGAAUACACUAAUUUUUUAAAAAUCUUUAUUAUUCAAAAUCAUUAAUUUUCAUAUAUAUACUUUUGCUAUAUUAGGCAAUUUCGUAAUUUUUAUUUAAAGAAUUAAUGAAAAUCAUUAAUAAUAAAUUUAUGGUUAGUUUAAUAAAAAACUUAUUAUAUAAUUAGAUAGACCAACAUAUUUUUCUAAGGAUUCUAAAAGUCAUUGUGGUGAUGACACAUGGCUACCUUAAAUGUUGUAAUAUUUCUCUUUUAGUAUAUAGGGAAUAAGAUUACAAAGUUGCUAAAGAUGUUAUAACAUUUUCUCAUUAUUAACUUUUAACUAUGCAAAUACUUGGUACAACAAGGACUUACUAAUCUUUUUUAUUUCGAUUUAUUAACCUAACAGACACUUUAUGUGACAACUCAUCCCGCUCACUCGGAAUCCGGCUUACAGCCUUGUAGGGCACCGACCCCAACUCCUCCAUUAUGAGUUCUUUCUGACUCCAUAAUUAGGUUGUUGGUGGGUCUCGAACUCAGGACCUCACAAUUUAACUACUUUAUAUCCAUCUCGGGGCUUGAACGACGUAUAAUGUAUGGCAAAAUAGGUCAGCAGGAUCUUCACAUAAUGGUUAAAGGAACACACAUAGACCAAAGUGGGUUUAAUAUUUUGUGAUUGAAUAUAUAUUUUGGAUACAAACAUAUAAUAUAUAUAUAUAUAUUUUUUUUUUUUUUUUGAAAAUAUUUUUUUUGGUUAAUUUUUAUUAUAUUAAAUUAUUAAUAAUUAUCAAGUAUAAUAAAUAAAUCUAAAUAGAUUAAUAAACUAUAGCUUGUCCUUAUCAAUGUUUAGGUCUAUAUUAAUGUGUUUUACAUAUAUUAUAUAUUUAUUUAUAUUGUUAAUAUAUAAUUUUUUAGAUAUAUGAUAAAUUAUAUAUAAUGAUUCAUUAAUGGUAUUUACGACCUUAACCAUUUUUAACGUGAGAGUUCGGAAGCAAAAAAAUACUUCGCAGUUAAUAGUGUAGAUAUAUAUAUAUAAGACAACGAUUUCCUUACAUGUAUUCCUUCUCGAACGCAUACCGUCGAUUGUUGUAUUGAGGCUUAAGAAUGACACAAAGAAGGCCAUCAUAUAAUAUAUUAAACGCAUAUAACAGCAAUUCACUCCUCUGACUCACUCAUCACUCAUUUUUUGUUAUUAUUUACGACAAGACGAACAAGAAUCCAAGCAAGAAAGAAUAAAUAUUAUCAAGCAAUUUGGUGAAUGCACUUUCAGUUUCUAUCUUUAGAUAUAUAUAUAGUAGAUAAAAAGUGAUAAAGAUAAUUUUGAUCAUCCAAUCGAAAUUUUGAUAACUUUUUCCAAGGAAACAUAUCUUUUUAUUUUGUAUUUUCCGUUUUUUUUUGUAACUACUUUUGUAAUUUCCUUAUCUUUUGUAAAAAGUUAUAACUUUAUAUUCUAAAACCCAGUUAACUAAUAUCAAAUCAUUAUUUAAUUUCUUACAAAAAAUAAAUGAUUCAUAAUAAAACAACUAUAUAUAUAUACCCAAACAAUCUUAUGGAAAAUAACUAUAUUUCUAAACACAGUUAGCUAUAUAGUUAAUUUUAAUGAGGAUCAUAUAUAUUAGAUAAAAUCUGAUAAAAUAUAUUCAAUCAAAUAUAUCCAUUUAAUAUUUUAUAUAUUUUACCAAUAUAUAUUUAUAUGUUAUGUAUCUUAAUAUUAAAACAUAAUUAAAUAAUAAAAAAUACUGUUAUAAUAUUAAAUAAGUAAAUUAUUUUUGUUAAAAUAUCUGUAGUAUAAGAACCAGAAAAAGAUCUUGACACAUUAAUAUUUAUCUUUUUUUUUCUAUAUAAUAGUUUUUGGUUUCAGAAAAUAGUGGUUCUUCUUUGAUACUCUUUGGUAAAGAAGCACAAGGCGGUAGUUGUGGCUAUUGCUCAGAAUUGUUUGGUAAAUUGAUGUCAUGGUCCUGCAAGAGCUGUUACAUGUCGCCUUGUGCGCUCGGAACUGCACAACCCCCCCCCCCCCCCCCCCCCAAAAUGAAUUCUUUUAACGAGUUUCCAAAUGGGUCUCUUCCUCGGAGUAUAUGGUCGGUAGACAAUGGUAACUAGUGCUGAUACCUCAAAAAUAUCAAAUUAUUGACCUAUUUUAUUGGAUUUGUGUAGAAAAUGAUUAGCAUUUAUACCCUUGUGGUUGCUUAUGAUCGGCGGAUCCCGCUAGGGCCUCGAUGAAAUCGGUUAAGUAACCCAUGGUUCGUGCUUCGGCUUUCGUGUUGGGUCUCAUAUAUGGGUCUCUCUCCUCUCUCUCUCUCUCUCUCUCUCUCUCUCCUCUCUCUCUCUCUCUCUCUCUCUCUCUCUCUCUCUCUCUCUCUCUCUCUCUCUCUCCUCUCUCUCUCUUCUUGUCUUAUGUUUGUCAGAAUAAUUUUUCCGUGAAUUGAGAGAGAUUCUGGGACACACAUGAACUGUUGUUGAUGUCAAGAGAUGGUUUCAAUCAUAGAACAAUGGAAAAUUGUAGAUUUCAAAUUGAAUCAAUGGGAACAUAUAUGUGAUAUAGUUCCAAGUUUCGUUUAUUUAUGUUUCGAAUCAUUGUAUAGUUGGAGACCUUAGUUUUGUUUAGGUCUGCCUAUUUUGAAAAGGCUAGUGAUUAAGCUGAGUUUUGUAUCUCAUUAAUCAACUGGUUGAUCAUACUCUGCUUAAUGCUUACUCGAAUUUUCUUAUUGAUUCAACUUUGUUUUACUAUUGCUACGUAACUAUUUGCCUCUCUCUCUUUUCUUUUGAAUUAUAAGUUGUAAUUAGAUACUGGCAAUAAGUGCACUAAGAGCAUUGCCCCGCUGCUACAUGUCCGGUUGCGUCUUCUCUUUUAUCUGUGAGCAUUUGAUAUUUCCGUCUUGGAGAUUUUUUUUGGUUCGUAGUUGUAUCUCUUAUCUUUUUUUGAUGUGAUUUCAUGACUUCAUGAGUGAGAUAUUAACAAAUUCUUUUUAACAUAUUGUAGAUUAAGAAAAACUCUCAGAUGAAGGUCGAAGCCAAGGCUCAUCACUAAACAUCAAAUUCAAAAUACAAAAAUGAAGCCAAGUGAACGUGUUAUCUCUGCAAAUGUAGCUCUUCCUCGGUGACAUCUUUUAGUUAUUCUGUCUUUUUCAUUUCUCGUAGAAGAACAAAACCUUGUCUGAGGAAAACAAUAGCCAUUCCUUGGGUUGACGUGGAAGCAGCGGAUCGAGUUCGGGAUUAAGAUCAGGAUUAUCCUCAAUAGCCACUGUUUGGGUCACUCUAUGAGCUCUGUAUUGGACAAUCUUCCAAAACAUAAUAGUUUUGAAGAACUUCAAAAUGAGUCCUCAUCUUUGGGUUUCGUGAUUGGUGAACACCAUGCCUAUGGAGAAUAACGCGUCCGAAAUCCCAUAAACAUCAAGUUUUCUAUUAAAUUUCCUGAGAGUUGUGAAAUAUCCGAGAAACAUCAUUACUCUCCAUAGUUUCCUAAAUAUCCGCUGAGCCCAACAAUGCCUCGACUUUGUCGUCUAAGAAACCCACUAAUAAAGACAUGAGCCACUGGAAUCCGACCAAUUGGAUUCCAUGGUUGUGUCGCCUUGGUGGCUCUUCUUGGUUUGCGUCGUAGACCAAUGCGACAUAGAUCACCGGAGCUAUUAAUAACAUAAUAGACAUGAAAACACAUCCCAAGAAUAUAAACCAACGUGCUUUUGUUAACAUGUAGAUAAAAGAACUAUCAAAUUUGAAGACAUGACAAAUUAUUACAUUUUAAAGAAUAGUAUAGAAAUAUGUCUCAAAUAGUAUGGUACAUGUAUAUAAAGCUACAUUAAAGAAUGUAUACUAUACUAUUUUUUCAUUGAAUAUAGUAUAUAUGGUGAGUUCAUCUUCUUCAAUUCAUUUUUUGACAGGCUGAUACACAUUCACUUGAAUCGCCGUCAUUAUUCUUAACCACCAUAUAGAGAUCAUCUUCAUCUCCUCUCUCUUUUUCGACACGGCGACACUAUUACCGAUCUGCCGUCGUUAUUCUUCACCACUAUAUAUGUAAAGCAUCAUGGAUAUAACCCUGAUGCGGUAAUCUCAAUCUCAUUUGCAAGAUUCAAAAAUGAAAACAGAGUAUGAAAGCAAAAGCAUGAUUAUGAAACUAAAAAUCAAUGAGUUAAGAGAAGGAGAAAAAUAAAUGAAAGAGUUGGUGUGUUUACUCAUCGUAUACGCCUUAAGAGUUGUCUCUUAUUUACCACAAUUGGUUGUCUUUCUUGUGAGAAGAAAUUAAUUCCAAAAUAAAUCUGGGAAGAAGACUUUCAUCUUUUGCAAAGUCACCAAAAUAAAUUAUAUAUAAAAAUGUGUGUUUUUCAAAGGGCCACGAGUUAUUUUUCAAUAUUAUUAUCAUUAAAUCAAUUUAUUUUUUUUCUUACAGGUUUCACCAGUUGCAUAUGAGGACAAUAUGGAAUAUUAUAUAUAUAAGAGGCAAGUUGUAUAGGUGAGUUAGGGGUUUUAGAUAGUGAAUGAAUUAUAAUUUGUUUGAAAGUUAUAUAGCCCAAUUCUCCUUAAUUUAAUUAACAACGUGCUUUUGUUAACACGUAGAGAAAUUAAAAUUUAGCAGAUGAAUAUUUAUGAUAUUAUUUUUUAUUUUAAAUCAGAUAGUCGUGAUUUUUUAGUUUGUCUUUUGGUGUUGUUUAGCUUGUAUUAAAUUAGUCUGCUAUGAGUGUUCUUCGUAACUCCUGUAAAUUGUUUUUGAAAAUGGUGUUAAUAUUUAACAUUUUAUCCAAAAAAACAAUUAUAGUACGACAAACUUAUAAAUCUGGUGCUUACGAAUCUACGAUCCCAAUAACUAUAGUUGUUUCAGACAAGUGGUUUGCCACAGUUUCAGCGUUCAUGUAACUGGUUUUUAAGUUUGGACCACGAGCACCGCCCACAUUCAACUCAAGUGGGGUUUUUUUGGGUUACUUUUUACUCUAUUUUUAUCUCCUUUCUCUAGUUGAAGUUUUUAACUAGAAUUAAAACAUUUCUUAAAAAUUUAACCAAUUCACAUCUAUUGAGUAAAAAUACCUUUUUUGCAUCAUCAUAAUAUUUUCUACACCGUUACCAUUUACCAUAUAAUUACAAAGUUGCUAAAGAUGUUAAUAACAUUUUCUCAUUAUUAACUUUUAUCGAUUCAAAUCCUUUUUUAAAAAACUUAAGUUUCCAUUGAUUAGCUCCCAAAAAGGGUAUUUUACAACAAGACAUUACAUCUCAAACUUGAUUAAAUUGGUACAACAAUGCCUUGUAGUCGGGUUGUGUUUAGCAACCCCGGACCAGACAUCAACUUCACCACUCAGCUUGUUAAUCCAUGUUUGGUGCUGUCGCAACCAAUCUCGCCUUUUAAAUGUAAUGCUGCCAGUAUGAAGGUCGCAAUGGAGGAAGGGAUUAAUGACAUACCUAGAAGCCAUAUCCCUCAGAAAUUGGGUUUGCGGAGGAAGCAGUCCUGUCAAGUUGGGAGAGUACCUGCAUAAAAGAAGGAAACAUCCUGGCUUGCAACCAUUAGACCGCGAAGCCACUGGGAUGGAUGAGCCCAAAAUAUGCCACCACCGAUGGAAGACACUGAUGACUCCGACGACCCGCAGAGCAGGACCAGCCUCCAUACGUAUUCUUACUCUAAGAACUAGAGUAAGUUCUUUUAUUGAAAGCAGAACAAAGAAGUCUCCGACGGUAGAGAACGGAGCCAACACACCACUGAGCACCCAUACUCGAAACCAAGACCAGAAUAUGCGCACAUCCCGGUGGAGGAACACCACCAUACAGGACCAUGGGAGAGGGCGGCAAAGGACAUAGGGAUUGAUGGAGAGCCGACGCCUGAGAGCCAUUUCCCGAAUGCCGGAACAGGACCAUACCUCCAAACGUAACAAACGAUUCAAAUACUUGUUACAACAGGGACUUAUUAACCUUUUUUGGACUUAUUAGCCUAACAGACACUUUAACCACUGUAUAUCCAUCAUGGGGCUUGAACAACGUCUAACGUAUGGCAAAAUAGGUCAGCAGGAUCUUCACAUAAUGGUUAAAGGAACAAACAUAGACCAAACAUCAGAGUCAAGAAUGCUUGCGAGUUAUUACUCCUUGGGGAUUGCUAGAUGUGAGAGUGUAAUUAAGAAGGUGGAUUAAUAAGGGAAAAAUAAAACAGAUGCUAUAAUUAUCAAAACACAAACGCCAAUGAUGACAUGAAGUCAUAACUGCUUCUUUAAUUCAAUAUACAUUGCUGGAGUUCCUACUGAUCCUAACUGUCCGUUCUGUGUGUGACUAACGUCUUUGACUUCCCAAACAUUAUAGAGCAUGCUAUUACCGAAUUAAAAGCUCGACUUGAUGCGAAACCACUUAGUCAAAAAGAAUGGAUCAUGGAAGCUAUAUCUUGAGAUGUACAUAAAUAUUUUUUUUUAUAUUCAUCUCUGCAAUCUGUACAAGUAUCAUUUGUGCUUUGUACAAUUCAAAUCUGUUAAAAAACCCCAAAACUUAUAGCGUUUAAUUUAGGAUUUUGAUUUCACAGCUCCGCCAAAUAGAUACAACCUGUCGGAUCCAAUCGACGGCAAAGCAAAAGUAAAAAUCUGAAUUAAUCUGUCUUCAUCAAUUAGGACCCCAACAGCUCAAGUACAUGACGGUCCUGAGAGACUCCUCAGCUUGCUUUGCCUUGUCACAAUCCUUGCAGGAGGCAAGGGCGGUCGUGGACGAAGAAGAGAACCUGUUCGCCUGAGCAGCGGAUCUCACGUUGUUUCGGAUACGUUGAUUCACCGAUCGGAUCAUGUAAUUCCACCUGCAUAGUCCUAAUUGGUCUUUCGAGGCCUCCACGGCUCCGAUGGUUGCUGCCACUAACCAUGCUUUGCUUCUUGAACUCAUCUUUUCUCUUUCUUUUUCUUCUUUUGGGUCAAAUUGGAGAAAUAAGAGAAACUCUUGCUUUGUUUUUUGUUUGUAAAAAGGAGAAUUGAUUUGUGAAAGUUGUUGAUGAAAGAAGAUGAGAUUCCAUGGGUUCUAUUUAUAUAAUAGAGAGCACCAGAGGAUAAGAGUUUUAGCCGCUUGUUAGUGUGCAAAACCAGACGCUGUCUCCCCUUGUUUUCCCCAAGUUUUUGUCUUGUUGGUUUGGUGAAUUGCUAGUUAUUACCAUUGUGCCCAUAGUCUCCUAAGAGAUCCGCAAGUGUAGCUAUGCGCACUUGGUUUUUAUGUAUUACAUUUGUUGCUUGUGCUUUACCUGAAAAACAAAUUCACUGAUAACUCCUUCGAUUGAUUUCUUUUUUUUUUGAAACUAAUCUAUUUGAAUGAUUUUGUAAAACUAAUCCUUCGCUUGAUCUUUUUUAAACUAAUCCUUCUAUUGUUUUCAGUUUGUAACCAAUCCUUCGAUAUGUCAUUUGAUUACACUAUAAAAGAUUCAAUAUUACAAAGAUUUACGGUUUUUAUCAAAUAUUUCCUAAUGUAAUCACAUAUUCGGCCGGAACACACAAAACCGUAAAUCUGCUCGCGAAGAACAAAGGUCAUCAGUUUUCGGCGUUUUCUCGAGUUGUGGCAAGGUAGAAGGAGUGCUUGCAUAAAGGAGACUCGACUUUUAGGACUGAAAACUUUUGUCAGAUUUAAUCUUUUUAAAAAAAAAGAUUCUGACGAUUUUCUUACGACGACAGUUUGUGACGGCGUGAUGAGCCUCAUCUAUGGAUCUACCUUCUUCCAAGGCUGGGAGAUCACUAUCUUGUUCGGGAGUGACCACUCAACCUCGUCUAGGAAAGUCCUCGACGGUUUAUGUUUGAAGAGGAGCUUGCAUGUGUUCUCUGUCUUCGUGUGUCAGUGGGGGUCUUCUGACUAUGGCGCGUGUAGUCUACUCGUCUGAUGGGAGCAGCCUUCGUCUUUGAGCAAAUGUUGUUUAGACGAAUAGCUUCAACUUCUCUGUUUUUCUCCAGUCAUAGUAUUUCCAUCUCAGUACAAUCUAGGAGACAAUGCAUUGGUGAUUAGAGUGUAGAAGGUUCUUAACAUCCCUAUGUAUAAACGUGAUUAAAAAAUCCUCUGAAGAGUGAUGGGAAUACAAGAGGCUUGUUCACCUGUUUUCGGCGGCACACAUUCAAGGUCUAUAACUCAAGAAGUGGUUAAAUGAGGUGUCAUCUUUGGUGAUGGUUUGUGGUGGAUUUUAAAAUCCUAACGUUGGAUUGGGUAUUUUGAACCAACUGAUGGUUUGAAUCCACACUCUUAAAGGUUGUGGACUAGGAGAAUGGGUAAUGCAAUUUAUGUCAAAGUCCAAAUUUUCCUUCUCUCAGUUUUAGAUCUUGUCUCUUGUAACAGUGUAGUUUAAGAGAAGAUUCAUUUAUUCCAAGUAUGGUUGAAUGAAAUAAUCUCAUUGGAGUCUUUGGUUUGAGUACACGUUAGGUUGAUAAGGUAGUGUAGGUAGCCCUCAAGUUCACCUAGAUGAUACUACUUCGAGCUUGUAUGUGUAGUCAAUCCGUGAUGUGUAGAUGAUCGUGUGUAAAUAAAUGUUGGGAAAUAUAAGUUGAUGUUGAGCCAAAUUUGACGUGAGGUUGGCAAGGCAUAGAAGGCAGUAGGGGUUGGCUCUUAGGGUUUGUGGAGGAGUUCUCUUUUUUCAGUUUAGGUUUGGUCUUCUCUUAGAGAAUGCGGCGCACAGUGAAAGAGUGACGACAGAUCUGUGAGUCUGGGUUUCGUGAAGAGAAGCUUUUGUUUUAGGGUCACAGUCACGACCUCGGUGUCUUGGUAUGACAGUUCCAACUAAUCAACGGCAUGUGAGCUUUAGAGGGUUCAUAUACUUCGUUGACGCGUUUUCUAGUGGCUUACCAAAAUGUGUUAUCGCUGCUAGCAACGGCGCAUGAAGAAAGGAAGAGUGGUUCAUAAGUGUGGUCGUCUAUGUCCAUCUCGUAACCGUUUGGGCAAUCUUUAUCCCCAUUGAUCUUCCUUACUAGGCAUCAAUUCCUGUUUCUAGUUGAAGUAGUGUUAGAUAUCUUUACUGGUGGUGAGCUUUUCGUUUGUUUGGUGUUAAUUAGCCUCUGACUGUCACCAAAAAAAAAUUUAGGUGAGGCAAAGGCUGUCCAUCUUCCGGUUCUUGAGAUGGUGAAAAUGGCGAAGAGGAUGAUGUAUUGAGGUGGUAUGUGGGUUUUAAUCUUAUUUUGGUGACUUCAUUUUGUUGAAGAACCACAUCCCGUGGACGUUGGUGGAUCAUUUGAUUAGUUGUGGUGCUGCUGCUUCUUUUUGUUCCUUUGUGAGGUCUUUAGAGAUCUUCUAACUAUUGGUGCACCACCUUUUCGAACCUGGUCUAUUUUUUUUUCUUGAUGCGAGGAUAGGUGGACAUGACGUUCAUCAAAAGUAUGGGCGACUUAUUCCCCAAUCUUCUUCACAUAUUUAAAAGUUUCAGAUCCCAAUAUCGGUUACAUGUUGGAGGAGUUGACUGGGAGCCAGCUACUCCAGGGGGAAGGUGAACCAUGAUGUUUCAAGAAUCUUCGGUUUGAAACAUUUGGAAAUACGGGAAACUAUGUUUAUUUCACCUUUUCGGACUAUGUAUCCCUCAGUUGAAACGACAAACAACUUUUGGAGGAACUUUAGCUAUUUGACGAAUGUGUGGCUUAGAUUUGUAAAGGGAAGUCAUAUAAGUUUUUAGUAAAACCGGUUAUUUGGUUUGAAUCAACAUUGUAAUUAGUACCAGAAUCUCAUUUCCAAACCGGUUAAUGAAUAAAAAUAUCUAUUUAAAAGUAGAAGAUAAAGAUAUAAGAAGAUGAUAAAUGAAGAGAAUAUAAUAAAGAGAGAAAGAACAUGAUUCAUAGAAGGAAGAAAAAUAAUUGUAUUUUGAUUAGUUCUUUGGGAAAUAAAAAUGGCCAAUGCCUUACAUAUAAUGUUUUCAACUAAAUCGAUACUUAAAACAUUAAACUGAAAAAUAAGAUCAACCAAGAAAUCGAUAAGUGAGAAACUGAAUUGUAUUUUACGUAACAUAACAAUUCUAAUAUUGUGCGCUUACAUUUAACUUUUGGUCUUACGAAUCUACGAUCUGAAUCGUCUUACCUUUAUCAAGUCUUUAGAUCUAAAGAAAGAGAACUAUCAACUGAUAUAUCAUGAAUAGCAUGUUCUUUUUUUGAUGGUUAGGAAGAGCUUCUAGUCAUAGUUUUAAUUAGUUGCAGUAAGUAGAGUGUAACAAUGAAUCAUCAGUUUUGUAAAUGAUUUAUGUCUAAUUAAAUCGAUUAGAUAGCCUUCUGAGGCAUGACAUUGUUACAUACAAGUACGAUGAUAAUGGUAACAUUUAUCUACGUAAGAAAAAUUGGCCAUAUGCUUAAGCGGACAAAGCUUCCAGAUUUUCUCAGCGACCUGAUUUGGGUUUUGUUAAGAAAAUCCACUGAUAUAUAUUUUAAAACUUGAACCCCAACAAAUCAGAAACAUGACUGUCCGGAGAAUUUGUAACGACGGACUUCUUGAAUAUUUUCAAUUUCAUCAGAAAAAGCUCGAGUGGUUUUUCUACAGCAGAGAUCCCCUAUAUAUUAAUUGAGAAACAUUUAAAAAGUUAUAACUUGUAGUUUGUAUUAAUUAAAAAUUAUCAUACUGAAUUUUCACGUAAUUAGAAUGCUAAUUUGCUUACAUGACGGCUUGGGUAUCAAUGAAUAAUUUUGUUAGUCCAAAAUUAAAUCGUUAGAGAAUGUUAUAUUAUAUAGUAUGUCUAUUAUGAACCAUUCAUUUAUCAAACUGAAACAUUAUAUAUUUUUCCUUAAAUAAAACCUACGGAAUUACCUAAUCUGAUUAAGAUACAUAUGGCAAUUAAUGAUUUUAAAUAAUAAAGAUUUGUUAACAUUCUGUAUAUUUUCUAUCAUUUUGUUUAAUUAUUUAUUAUUAAAAUAAAUUACACAAUUACUUUAAUAAUAUAAUAAGAACUUUGAUUUUUUUUUGUAUAUGGUGUAUUUUGAAUUUUUCAAAACGAGUAUAAAUUACUAAAACUAUUAAAAGUCUCACAUAAACUUUUGCGAUCAAGGUUUAAUUUUUUUCUAUAAUAAGAUACAAUGCUUAUAAAAUCAUAUGUAUAAAUAAUAUUAUUUUAAUAGGUUUUUAUGUAUACAUCAUAUGAAAAUACAUACUUAUAUUUUGAUAUCUGCAUUGACUAUAUAUUGAAAAGUUAAUAUUUUAAUUUUGAAAUCUUAAUUGUUAUUUAAAUGAUUACAAAUUAUUGAAACCACUAAACAUUCCAGAUUAAAAAAAAUCGUUGGUGUAAAAUUUUGUUAUACAAAUAUGCAAAUAUGCAAAUAAUAAUAAAAUCAUAUGAGUAGAAACCUCAUUUAAUAAAUAUCUAUAUUAAAAUUAUAUUAUAUCUCUAUGUUAAUAUCAUUUAAAUUUAAUUAGAUAUCAUAUAUGAUAUAUAAGAUUGAUUGUUUUGAUUUAUUUAUCCUAAAUGAUUGUGAAUAAACAAGAGCGGUCGUUUGAUUUAUAUAGGCACACCAAUUUUAUUACAUAAUAGUAACUGAUUUCUUAGUAAUUUAAUAUAUAAUUAUUAUUUUAUUAUUUCAUAAUAUGCAGAAAAAUAUAAAAUAAUGAAAAUAAAAUAUUUAUUCUGCACAAGGCGUAUAUCUUAACCUGAGUAUGUAUCUUUUUAAUAAUUUUAAAUCAUAUACAUUUUCUAAAUAUCAGGCCAAAACAAAAUAACGAAAUAAGAAUAAACUCAAAAAUCAAUAUUUAUAUCGAGCAAUAACCAAAAUAAGAAAAAUAUUGAAGAUAGAUAAGAUUGACAGGUGAACAUAAACUUCUCAUAACAAUAAUUAACUUUUAAAUUGUUAAAUCAUGAUUUAAAACGGAGCUGGCAUAGUUUCAUUGUAACGAAAUAGUAUGUCUGAGAUUUUUCAGCCUAAACGUUAGGUUCUUAUACGAUAAGUGAUUCUUUACUUAAAAUAUUUUUAAAAAUGUGAUCAGCUCAUCAGUAAACAAAAUUAUGUAAUUAACAAAAAAUUUUAAAAAAAAUUGUAUAAGGGCCAAAAAUAUUAAUCCGAUCAAGAAUAUAAAUUUUAUUUUUCCAAACGAUGUUUCUUAAAUAAUUUUCAUAUAAAUUUAUUCUGUGCAAGGUGAAUGUUUUAUCCUAGUUUAUUUUAUAAGUGUUGAAAUAUGUGUAGUCUUUGAAAGUUGGGACAAAUAACCUAUUUUUUAAUUAAGUGUCGGACGUUCAGUGAGCAUUUGGAACGAUUGUAGAUCUGGCUGAAUGAUGGUAAACUGAUCAUGACGAUUGUAGAUCUGGCUGAAUGAUGGUAAACUGAUCAUGAAAUGAUCGGUAAACUGAUCAUCGAAUAAUCUUAUAUACGGAUUUGUGUGGUCUCAUUUCUAAAAAAAUAAAAAACAAAUGAGUCUUAGGGAAAGAAACAAAGAGAAAACAGUUCUAAAAAGAGAAGUUCAAGCAGAAGAAACAAACGAGUUAUUCAAAUCUUAUCAAAAUAAAAUGACCUAGAAUUAAAAAUCCAUUGAUGUUAAUGUUACUAUAAUUUAUCUUGUGUGACAUAUGUCUUUAAACUUCCCGAGCAAGUUAUUACCGAAUGUAAAGCUUGGCUUGACGGGAAACCUCUUAGAAAUUCAAUUUAGGAAGAGCAUAUAGUCAAGCUCGAUAUCAACAACAGUGGAAAAGUAUGAUGUGUUAAACGAAUGGAUCAUAGAAAGCUCUAUAUUUUCCAGUAACAUGCAGGAUUUACAUUAACUCUUAUAAUCAUCCCUGAAUUCUGUACAAGUAUCAUUUUGCCUUAUACAGUUCGAAUCCGUUAUUUGAUUGCAUCCCGAAAGAACCCAUCAAAACCCCAAAAACUCAUAGCGUCUAUUUAGGAUUUUGAUUUCAUAGCUCCCGCCACAUAGAUACAACCUGUCGGAUCCAAUCGACCGCAAAGCAAAAGUAAAAAUCUGAAUUAAUCUGUCUUCAUCAAUUAGGACCCCAACAGCUCAAGUACAUGACGGUCCUGAGAGACUCCUCAGCUUGCUUUGCCUUGUCACAAUCCUUGCAGGAGGCAAGGGCGGUCGUGGACGAAGAAGAGAACCUGUUCGCCUGAGCAGCGGAUCUCACGUUGUUUCGGAUACGUUGAUUCACCGAUCGGAUCAUGUAAUUCCACCUGCAUAGUCCUAAUUGGUCUUUCGAGGCCUCCACGGCUCCGAUGGUUGCUGCCACUAACCAUGCUUUGCUUCUUGAACUCAUCUUUUCUCUUUCUUUUUCUUCUUUUGGGUCAAAUUGGAGAAAUAAGAGAAAC
RNAcentral lists this long non-coding RNA (33884 nucleotides) under Brassica rapa (field mustard). Its description in RNAcentral is "long non-coding RNA (BRAP_LNC006919)". The record is from RNAcentral. Lineage: Eukaryota; Viridiplantae; Streptophyta; Magnoliopsida; Brassicales; Brassicaceae.